RNA transcript from Dendroctonus ponderosae (mountain pine beetle), 3336 nucleotides. It is a transcript of the gene named venom serine protease 34, with no coding region annotated. The transcript has 9 exons. The record is from RefSeq and is a predicted model, not a curated record. Lineage: Eukaryota; Metazoa; Arthropoda; Insecta; Coleoptera; Curculionidae.
UAAGAGGUAUUGGUUUUUUACAGUACAGAUAAACACACACCUUGAUAAACUUUAUCAUUUGCCGUUUUCAUUUAGUUUUACUUUUACAUUUGAACUCGCCGAUUUUGAAACAAGAUGUGUAACGCUAGAAUAUCAGUGCCUCCGUCUUUUCUAUCAUUCAACUUACCAAAGAUCUACAGUUUUUUUAUUCUUAGUAAAUUCGCUAUUUUGGUUACCAUUUUUUCAGUUGUUGGAUCGAGUGAAAGUCGAGCCGAUAACGAGUGCGAUUGUGGCUGGAGAAAUUUGGCAAGUAAGAGCUUCCAAAUAGUAGGAGGUAAUGAAACGGGAAUAAAUGAAUUUCCUGCAAUGGUGGGAAUCGUCAGUUUUAGUACCAAGUCGCUCGUUUGUGGCGGGCAUAUAAUUUCGGAUAGAUACCUUCUAUCUGCUGCUCAUUGCGUAUUUCAAAAAGAUCCCAACGAAUUAGCUAUUUUGGCUGGAGAUCAUAAUAUUACAUCAGGAGACGAUACAUUAUAUUCUGCCCUUUAUAACAUAAAUGCCUAUGAAAUACACCCUGACUACGACAGUAGCAUUUAUGCCAAUGACAUCGCUAUAUUGCAAACGACCAAAUCUAUUGCUUUUAGUCAAUAUGUAGCUCCGAUUUGUCUGCCCUUCAAAUACGUUGACUACGAUUUUUCUUCUCAGCCUGUUAUCGUUUUAGGUUGGGGUCAACUUGAGUUUUCUGGUCCCACUUCAGAUGUUCUAAUGAUGGCAUCAUUAAACGUUUUAUCAAAUGACGAAUGCUCAAUAAUCGUAAGCGAAGCACUUGUGCCUGAAGAAAUGUGUACGUUUGCUUCAGGGAAAGACUCUUGCCAGCUUGAUUCAGGUGGUCCACUUUUAUGGACUGAUGUGGUUGCAAACAGAAUGCAUUUAGUGGGAAUAAUUUCCCAUGGUCUUGGCUGUGCCUCAAAUGAACCCAGCGUGAAUACGAGAGUUACUCAGUUUCUGAGCUGGAUUGUUGAGAGAACAAGCGAUGCUACAUAUUGUUAUAUGUAAUACAUGAAACCAAGGAAAGCAAUAGAACUGAAGUUGACUUAAAUUGGCAAACCUAAGUUUUGAAAUAUUCUCAUUUGAGGCGCCAAGCCAUAUUAACAUAUUCAAGAUGAAGAGAGCCUUUGGAGGUGGCCUAAAAAUCUAAGGAAUCACGCGUUUCAUACUAAUUUUAUUAUUAAAUAAAUACUAUAUGCUUUUUAAUUUCCUACCUAAUUUAAUAACCAAGAUAGCGAACUUUAGUGUUAAUGCUUCGAGCUAUACUAGAAAUUAGACUAAUGCAUGAUGUAGAGAAUAAAAAAUGUCCGAACAAAUAAAAAAAGUUAUAUCAACUAACUUUUAAAGCAGCAGUAAAUCAACGUCCAUCCGGUUCUUUUCAAUAUGGUGAAAAAAUAAUUAACUAAGCCAUUUCUAAAAAUACGGAAAUUUAUUCACGACUUAUGUCGCGAAUGUUUCAUCACUCCGAAAGUUCAAGCCCAGGAAAUUCGAUAGAAUUGUUGCGAGAGAUUCACUUAAUUUAGCAAAUGGACUGUAUUAGAGAUCCGUUGCUUGGUACAAAUAUAGUUUACUUAAGGCUCAGUCUCUCAUUCAGAGGUUCAGAGAAUAUUUUUAUUGAAAUAUAAAGAGCAAGUUGAAUUAGGAUUUGUAAAAUAUAAAAUUCAUCUACAUUUUACAUGUAAUGAAUCUAACAGAAAAUUAUGAGUGAUUCAUAUUCUAAAUUGAAUUGUUUACGUUUUAGGCUGAAAAUAUUAUGAAAAAUACAAAAACAACACUAAUUGCGGAAUACGUUAUCAUCCAUUGCGUUCACAAAGAAGAUAAUUGCAUUUUAAAAUAUCUCUGGAUCACAAAUUUAAUAUAAUAAAACAAAAUUGAGCGGCACUAUGCUAAUUAAUCGAACGCAUAAUCCAGCAUACUUACAUUCAAUUAAAAAUGCAUUACAUGCAAAUCUACAUUUCAAUAUCUAGAUUGAGUUACACGGAGAAAACAACCCUCAAUGAUAUUUUACGUUUUGUCGGAAGGACAGGAACACGCGGUGAGUAAGAAAUGUGCGAUUAAACCAUUAUAUUUUCGGGUUGCAAUUAACAGAAAUAUUUGGUUUCUAGAUCACGGAUCAAUUAAAAUGCGGCAUUUUCCCCAUUUGUUUAUUUCAGGAAUGCUUAUUGGGAGUUAAAAAUGUUUCAAUUGGCAAUCGAAGUGUUAUAAAGUCGGAAACAUUUUUAUUAAACUAUCAAUUAUCAAGUAUCCCAGUGUAGCUUUUUAAUACCACCAUCCAUCCAAAUUCUAAACCAUUAAGUUUGAAAUAUUUCGACACAAAUGUAGUGAAUGAUUUUAAGCCAACAAUUCAAUAUUAAUUCAUUUGAAGUUGUAUAGUGUAAAAUGGAAAGAGGAUAUUUAUUUUUGCUGAUAGUGACAGCGCUUAAUGGGCUACACGUUUCAGCAACAACAUCGGUAAUAGAUCAAAUUGUUUAAAUGAUUUAUUGAAAUCAAUUAAAAAGUCUAUCACUUUCUGUGUGCUUAAUGGGAUUCACUUGUUAAUUAAAUUUAAUUACUAUUUACGGCCUAUAACAACACUUACCUAUGUCAAUGCAAACAAGUUGAAUUCAUGCAUAGUUCAUGAUUUUUUCGUUCCCGAUCAAAUAAAACAUUGAUGGCACAGGAUUAUUCGGGCUGAUAAUUAGUUCUCAUUUUAGAACAGCACAGUUCGAGUUUAUCAGUUAAUAAAUUGUCCCAACCAAAACCUGCGUAUAGAUCUCAGAAACAUUUCAAUUAACUUGGAAAAUGAUACAUAUUUUCUUGGUUUUGAUAUUGAUGUACAGGAAGAUAUUGCGGAAGACAUGAAGUUAGAAUUUUCAAUCACCAGAUGUUUAAAUAGGGCCGCGCCAGAUACUUGCGAACAGUUUCACACUUUUACCGUACCCUAUUUCUGCAAGAUGAUGCUAAUACCCGCACCAUGGCUAGAAUAUCUGAAAAGUUUAGAGCCUCCUAUUAGUUGCCCAAUUAGAAAGGGUAAAUAUGUUUUGAAACAGAGCAUCGCGUGCAGUUUAAAAGAAGUUAAUAGGCUGAAGUUUGGAAGAGGAUAUUUCUUCAGGUUUACCAUGAAGGAGAUUGGGAUGAAAACAAACCAGUUACUAUUUUGCGCCAAAGCUGAGGUUUCAUCUUAAGUUUUGAGAAAUAAGUAAUACGUAACAUACUUUUUGCUUAAAUUGUGUUAUUAUCUAAUAUUCAAUAAAUACCUUGCAUUAGCUGAUCAUGCUUUAGUGACGUGUGCAAAUUUGAAAAUAAAUAAACGCACUUAAAUAAGUUUUAAUA